UGGAAGUAAAAGUCGUAACAAGGUCUCCGUUGGUGAACCAGCGGAGGGAUCAUUACCGAGUUUACAACUCCCAAACCCAAUGUGAACGUUACCAAACUGUUGCCUCGGCGGGGUCACGCCCCGGGUGCGUAAAAGCCCCGGAACCAGGCGCCCGCCGGAGGAACCAACCAAACUCUUUCUGUAGUCCCCUCGCGGACGUAUUUCUUACAGCUCUGAGCAAAAAUUCAAAAUGAAUCAAAACUUUCAACAACGGAUCUCUUGGUUCUGGCAUCGAUGAAGAACGCAGCGAAAUGCGAUAAGUAAUGUGAAUUGCAGAAUUCAGUGAAUCAUCGAAUCUUUGAACGCACAUUGCGCCCGCCAGUAUUCUGGCGGGCAUGCCUGUCCGAGCGUCAUUUCAACCCUCGAACCCCUCCGGGGGAUCGGCGUUGGGGAUCGGGACCCCUCACCGGGUGCCGGCCCUGAAAUACAGUGGCGGUCUCGCCGCAGCCUCUCCUGCGCAGUAGUUUGCACAACUCGCACCGGGAGCGCGGCGCGUCCACGUCCGUAAAACACCCAACUUCUGAAAUGUUGACCUCGGAUCAGGUAGGAAUACCCGCUGAACUUAAGCAUAUCAAUAAGCGGAGGA
This 625-nucleotide ribosomal RNA is filed under the name Trichoderma hamatum. RNAcentral describes it as "eukaryotic LSU rRNA". The stretch from base 239 to 392 matches the Rfam family "5.8S ribosomal RNA". The record is from RNAcentral. Lineage: Eukaryota; Fungi; Ascomycota; Sordariomycetes; Hypocreales; Hypocreaceae.